UUCUGCUCUUAAAUUUCAUCAGUAGUUUCUUUGUUGCCUGAUACUAAAUUCCAUUGACUGGAAAAGCAGAUUGUCCAUGUGAAAAGUUUAACAUUCGAUAUGCAGCUAUUAGGGGCAUCCCUAGAAAUCUCACCGAUUGGAUGGAUGCUGUCUGAAAAUUGAUGGAUUUGGUCUGAAAAUUUUUGUCCUUUCGUAGGAAGUUUAACGUAUUUAUACUCAUAAUUAGAACAGUGCUCGCCGGUGAAAAUAAAAAUACAGGCACGAAAUGAUUGCAACCAGCAGGGACAAAAGGAAUAGGAUGGGAGCCAGACCACAGGUAUCCAGGAAUAUUCACAAUGUAGGGAGCUUAAAAAGGAGUUUUCAUUACUUCAGCAGAUAAGAUGGAUGCCGAGUCUGCGCAUGGCGGGGUACUGCACAAUGUCAAGGAUGAGUGGGAUGAUUUUCGUGAUAGAAACUGAGAGGAUCAGAA
This is a long non-coding RNA of Lontra canadensis (Northern American river otter), 469 nucleotides long. RefSeq lists it as uncharacterized. Lineage: Eukaryota; Metazoa; Chordata; Mammalia; Carnivora; Mustelidae. The record is from RefSeq and is a predicted model, not a curated record. The transcript has 3 exons.